This is a long non-coding RNA of Pseudophryne corroboree (corroboree frog), 299 nucleotides long. RefSeq lists it as uncharacterized. The record is from RefSeq and is a predicted model, not a curated record. Lineage: Eukaryota; Metazoa; Chordata; Amphibia; Anura; Myobatrachidae. The transcript is spliced from 2 exons.
GCCUGGGACACAGCGUGACCGCCGGCGCUGCAGGUGCUGCUCUUGUUCCUGGAUGGGAGGUCCCUCCCUCCUCGUACAUGAAAACACACACAACUUCCUGCAGUGAUGAACAGUGGAGAAAAAUAAAAUGAGUUCCGUGAAGAAUACAUUCCCGGCCUUUAACACAAACUACAUCUGGAGGAUCAGCGUGGCCAGAUGCCAGAAGACGAACAUUUCCCAAAUCCCAUGUAUGCGCCUUAGUGUGGAGAUGGAAUGCACCUGUGGAAAUUACUCUUUGGUGGAUUUAAACUUCGAUAUUC